AGUGAGUCAUUCAAACAAAUAACCUAAUACCAUAGAAAAAUCUUAUUCGUAGUUCAGUUUUAAAAUAUUGAUUAUUGUUUCAAUUAUUUCCAAAAAUUUCGUCCAAAAAGUUGUAUCAGGUUGAAAAUUAGUUGUUUCAUCUGUUCUACAUACAAAAAUAUUUGAUAAUGUAGAACGUUUAGGUAUGGGAACAUGGUAUUACAGUAUAGUUGCAGAGGGGGAUCUUGACUUUGGUGAAGGGGACCAGCAGUCGCGCCUGAGUAAGCAUGAAAAGAGGGGUCAGUACAAGGUACCGCUCAUUUUUAUGGGAUUAAUUUAAGACCAAAACAAUUGUGCCGAGGAAUGAAUGGUACCUGAAACCUAUUCAGGUGUCAGAAACAAUAUCUGUGGGAAACUUGACGAAAGAAAAAAAGGAGAAGGAAGGCUAUAAGGUCCCGGAUCCUACGAUUACCUCGACCUCCAACCCUCUUCUAUCCAGGAUUUCCAAACCCAAAGCCUUUAUGAGGCCAAAAACUCCUGGUUCUACCUCCAUAGAACAAGUUGGCUCCAAAAGUCAUAAAACUGCACUUGCAGUAGAGUUCUGAAUCGGAGGAAGAAUUGAAUAUGCAGCUGGUCUUGAUUCAAGCGGGACAAUUUGAUACCAGCUUUAUGCAAGAACAGCUGCAGGAUUUCAUUGACGCGGUGACUAGGGCUAUCUGACAAAGGAAAAAUACACCGUAGUUUUUUUGUCUGCUGGUUAGGAAUCAUAUCCUAAUUCAUCAAAAAGUUCAAGCCAAAUCGUACGAUCGGCCUUUGGUGAUUUCAAGUGGAUGUGAUGGUGUGCAAUAGAUUUUUGGAACUUUGAAAUAAUACGUAAAAAUACUGUUAUAAUAAAUAAAUAGGAGUAAAAGUUUAGAUUUGAA
Long non-coding RNA from Diorhabda sublineata, 902 nucleotides. RefSeq lists it as uncharacterized. The record is from RefSeq and is a predicted model, not a curated record. The transcript has 2 exons. NCBI's taxonomy places the organism in Eukaryota, Metazoa, Arthropoda, Insecta, Coleoptera, Chrysomelidae.